GGUGCGGAGAAUGGGUGCAAGUGCGGUUCUGAUUGCAAGUGCAAUCCAUGCAACUGCAAGUGAGGGGCAAAGCCGGAACUUGAAGCAGAGAUGGUGAAGAAUGUUUUAGUUUAAUAGUUUGUUGUGUGUGUGUGAAUAGGGGCAAAUUAGUCAUAUCCUGUAUGGGUGAUGAAUUAAUUAUGUUCCUUGUAAUAAAGUGGGUGAUUUGGUGUGUUUUGUGUGCAUUUGGUGUUGUAACCUUCUCUGCAUUUGUCUGGAGUCUCCUAUAAUGUUAGAAGACGGUCAGGG
RNAcentral lists this long non-coding RNA (288 nucleotides) under Olea europaea (common olive). RNAcentral's name for it is "long non-coding RNA (OEUR_LNC009574)". The record is from RNAcentral. Lineage: Eukaryota; Viridiplantae; Streptophyta; Magnoliopsida; Lamiales; Oleaceae.